This 251-nucleotide long non-coding RNA is filed under the name Olea europaea subsp. europaea. The record is from RNAcentral. Lineage: Eukaryota; Viridiplantae; Streptophyta; Magnoliopsida; Lamiales; Oleaceae.
CAAUUGAGCACUAAGUGAGGAUUUAAGAAAAAUAGAGUUUGUUAUUUGAUGCAGAAGGAUCCGAGUCGAGUGACGCUGAUCUAUCAGAUAGUUCGUUGAUGGCACUGAGAUACCAUGAGAUGACGGACAGGCGCAAAGAUGGAAAAUAAAUGCAAUAUUUCCUUAAUUGGGGUAAUUUUGACAUGUUCUUGGUAAUUUGAUCAUAACUUUGGCUACGAUUAUCAGAAUCGCUAUUUUGACCCCAAUCCGGA